Molecule: ribosomal RNA, 472 nt
Filed under: uncultured organism
Description: partial 16S ribosomal RNA
Rfam family: Bacterial small subunit ribosomal RNA
Source: RNAcentral
ACGUACACUCCUACGGGAGGCAGCAGUGAGGAAUAUUGGACAAUGGGUGGAAGCCUGAUCCAGCCAUCCCGCGUGCAGGAAGACGGCCCUAUGGGUUGUAAACUGCUUUUAUCUGGGGAUAAACCUACUUACGUGUAAGUAGCUGAAGGUACCAGAAGAAUAAGCACCGGCUAACUCCGUGCCAGCAGCCGCGGUAAUACGGAGGGUGCAAGCGUUAUCCGGAUUUAUUGGGUUUAAAGGGUCCGUAGGCGGACUGAUAAGUCAGUGGUGAAAUCCGACAGCUUAACUGUCGAACUGCCAUUGAUACUGUUAGUCUUGAGUAAGGUUGAAGUGGCUGGAAUAAGUAGUGUAGCGGUGAAAUGCAUAGAUAUUACUUAGAACACCAAUUGCGAAGGCAGGUCACUAAGUCUUAACUGACGCUGAUGGACGAAAGCGUGGGGAGCGAACAGGAUUAGAAACCCCUGUAGUCCCA